GGAAGGAUCAUUAACAAAUCGGUUAUAGGACGCAAGUCCUAUAUACACCCCAAAGGCCUAACACAGCAGGAGAUCACAGUUGUGGUGGAAUGCUGGGGGGGGCCUUUUGGUUGCAGUCCGCGAGGGCUGUAGGCACGGGUCUGCUUUGCGGCGGCCUAGCCACAUAGACGCUUGUAUGUUUGACAGAGUAUAGUUGGAUUUAAAAAAUACAACUUUUAACAAUGGAUCUCUUGGCUCUUGCAACGAUGAAGAACGCAGUGAAAUGCGAAAAGUAAUGCGAUUUGCAUGAAUCUGUGAGUCAUCAAGUCUUUGAACGCACCUUGCACCAUGCGAGCAAUUGUAUGGUAUACCUGUUUGAGAAUCGUAAAAAACCUCUUUCCACCGCAAGGCGGGAGAUUUGUCGGUUGUGCCCCUCACGGGGUACUCUGAUCAAAAGCAGUAGGUCCGGAUCAGGCUAGUGGCCUGGGACAUUGUGUGCUAGAGACGUUCGCCUUGUGCCUACAGUCUUCUCACAGUGCGUCCUAGGCCAUCAAGCUAACCUGGUCGAUCGGGUCUGUACAGUGAGUGAGCGCUUUGCUCAUGACCAACCCCCACUUUUGAUCUCAAAUCAGGUAAGGCUACCCGCUGAACUUAAGCAUAUCAGUAAGCGGAGGAAAAGAAACUAACAAGGAUUCCCCUAGUAACGGCGAGCGAAGCGGGAAGAGCUCAAAUUUAAAAUCUGGUAGGCCUGGCCUAUCCGAAUUGUAGUUUAAAGAGGUGUUAUCUGAUCAGUGCUCGGGACUCAAGUCCCUUGGAAUAGGGCGUCACAGAGGGUGAGAACCCCGUCUGGGCACCGAGUACUGGUCUCUAUGAGGCACUCUCUACGAGUCGGGUUGUUUGGGAAUGCAGCUCAAAAUGGGUGGUAAAUUUCAUCUAAGGCUAAAUACUGGCAAGAGACCGAUAGCGAACAAGUACCGUGAGGGAAAGAUGAAAAGCACCUUGAAAAGGGAGUUAAAUAGUGCGUGAAAUUGUUAAAAGGGAAACGAUUGAGACCAGUAUUGUUGGUGCUGUUCAGCAGCGGAUUGGUGCAAGCCCGUCUGCUGUGCAUUCAGUGGCAACGAGUCAGCGUCAGUUUGGGUUUCCGGAGAGAGGCUGGGGGAAGAUGGGGUCGGCCUUCGGGCCAACCUUUUAUAGACCCCAGCUGGCACGGGAGCCUGGACUGAGGUGAGCGACUGCCGUACUCUUGACCAAAGACUAGCCCCCAUGGUGCAGGACUACACGUAGGCCUUUACAGCAAGGGAUAGAUGUAUGGUCAAGCAGGUAGUUCCAGGAUGCUGACGAAAUGGUCUUAAACGACCCGUCUUGAAACACGGACCAAGGAGUCUAACAUAUAUGCGAGUAUUUGGGUGGCAAACCCGGGUGCGUAAUAAAAGUGAUUUGGAUGAGAGCGUGUCCCUCGGGGUGCGUGCAUCAUCGACCGAACCUUGAUGUCCUCUGAUAGGUUUGAGUAAGAGCAUAUCUGUUGGGACCCGAAAGGUAGUGAACUAUGCCUGGAUAGGAUGAAGCCAGAGGAAACUCUGGUGGAGGUCCGUAGCCGUUCUGACGUGCAAAUCGAUGGUCAAAUCUGGGUAUAGGGGCGAAAGACUAAUCGAACUACCUAGUAGCUGGUUCCCUC
This 1654-nucleotide unclassified non-coding RNA is filed under the name uncultured fungus. Its description in RNAcentral is "sequence contains 18S rRNA gene, ITS1, 5.8S rRNA gene, ITS2, 28S rRNA gene". The stretch from base 598 to 1654 matches the Rfam family "Eukaryotic large subunit ribosomal RNA", at positions 1 to 961 of the family's 3401-position model. Lineage: Eukaryota; Fungi. The record is from RNAcentral.